AUACGGAGGAUGCGAGCGUUAUCCGGAUUUAUUGGGUUUAAAGGGAGCGUAGGUGGGAUAUUAAGUCAGCUGCGAAAGUUUGGGGCUCAACCUUAAAAUUGCAGUUGAUACUGGUUUCCUUGAGUACGGUAUAGGUGGGCGGAAUUCGUGGUGUAGCGGGUAAAUGCUUAGAUAUCACGAAGAACUCCGAUCGCGAAGGCAGCUCACCGGGCCGGAACUGACACUGAUGCUCGAAAGUGCGGGUAUCAAACAGGAUUAGAUACCCUGGUAGUCCGCACAGUAAACGAUGAAUACUCGCUGUUUGCGAUACACUGUAAGCGGCCAAGCGAAAGCGUUAAGUAUUCCACCUGGGGAGUACGCCGGCAACGGUGAAACUCAAAUGAAUUGACGGGG
RNAcentral lists this ribosomal RNA (393 nucleotides) under uncultured bacterium. Its description in RNAcentral is "partial 16S ribosomal RNA". It matches the Rfam family "Bacterial small subunit ribosomal RNA", at positions 523 to 918 of the family's 1533-position model. The record is from RNAcentral.